AGUCGAACGAUACCUGGUAGCUUGCUACCGGGGAAAGUGGCGCACGGGUGCGUAACGCGUAUGCAACCUACCUUAAUCAGGGGGAUAGCCCGAAGAAAUUCGGAUUAACACCGCAUAAAAACACAGGAUAGCAUUAUCCAAUGUUCAAAUAUUUAUAGGAUUAAGAUGGGCAUGCGUGUCAUUAGCUAGUUGGCGGGGUAACGGCCCACCAAGGCGACGAUGACUAGGGGAUCUGAGAGGAUGACCCCCCACACUGGUACUGAGACACGGACCAGACUCCUACGGGAGGCAGCAGUAAGGAAUAUUGGUCAAUGGAGGCAACUCUGAACCAGCCAUGCCGCGUGCAGGAAGACAGCCCUCUGGGUCGUAAACUGCUUUUAUUCGGGAAUAAACCUCAUUACGUGUAAUGAGCUGAAUGUACCGAAGGAAUAAGGAUCGGCUAACUCCGUGCCAGCAGCCGCGGUAAUACGGAGGAUCCAAGCGUUAUCCGGAUUUAUUGGGUUUAAAGGGUGCGUAGGCGGCCUGUUAAGUCAGGGGUGAAAGACGGUAGCUCAACUAUCGCAGUGCCUUUGAUACUGACGGGCUUGAAUGAACUAGAGGUAGGCGGAAUGUGACAAGUAGCGGUGAAAUGCAUAGAUAUGUCACAGAACACCGAUUGCGAAGGCAGCUUACUAUGGUUUUAUUGACGCUGAGGCACGAAAGCGUGGGGAUCAAACAGGAUUAGAUACCCUGGUAGUCCACGCCCUAAACGAUGAAUACUCGCUGUUAGCGAUAUACAGUUAGCGGCUAAGCGAAAGCGUUAAGUAUUCCACCUGGGGAGUACGCCCGCAAGGGUGAA
Molecule: ribosomal RNA, 838 nt
Filed under: Pedobacter sp. 01xTSA06A_H03
Lineage: Bacteria; Pseudomonadati; Bacteroidota; Sphingobacteriia; Sphingobacteriales; Sphingobacteriaceae
Description: bacterial SSU rRNA
Rfam family: Bacterial small subunit ribosomal RNA
Source: RNAcentral